This 468-nucleotide ribosomal RNA is filed under the name uncultured bacterium. RNAcentral's name for it is "partial 16S ribosomal RNA". It matches the Rfam family "Bacterial small subunit ribosomal RNA", at positions 28 to 507 of the family's 1533-position model. The record is from RNAcentral.
GACGAACGCUGGCGGCGUGCUUAACACAUGCAAGUCGAACGGAAAGGCCCUGCUUUUGUGGGGUGCUCGAGUGGCGAACGGGUGAGUAACACGUGAGUAACCUGCCCUUGACUUUGGGAUAACUUCAGGAAACUGGGGCUAAUACCGGAUAGGAGCUCCUGCUGCAUGGUGGGGGUUGGAAAGUUUCGGCGGUUGGGGAUGGACUCGCGGCUUAUCAGCUUGUUGGUGGGGUAGUGGCUUACCAAGGCUUUGACGGGUAGCCGGCCUGAGAGGGUGACCGGCCACAUUGGGACUGAGAUACGGCCCAGAAUCCUACGGGAGGCAGCAGGGGGGAAUAUUGCACAAUGGGCGGAAGCCUGAUGCAGCAACGCCGCGUGCGGGAUGACGGCCUUCGGGUUGUAAACCGCUUUCGCCUGUGACGAAGCGUGAGUGACGGUAAUGGGUAAAGAAGCACCGGCUAACUACGUG